Molecule: long non-coding RNA, 335 nt
Filed under: Cricetulus griseus (Chinese hamster)
Lineage: Eukaryota; Metazoa; Chordata; Mammalia; Rodentia; Cricetidae
Description: lncRNA (ENSCGRG00015034663.1)
Source: RNAcentral
AAAUGCAGUCAUUGAUUCCUGCCCAGAUCCUCUGGAGAAGAGGAAAUGGGUCCUUUCUGAUCUUUGACACACAAAAGCACAUCGCCUGAUGAUGGCUAUUCCACGGAAAAAGCAAAAUCUAAACAAACAGCAUCAUUUUGCUCUAGCCUACAUACAAUCUGCCUGUUGAUCCAGAUGUAGACCUCUCAGCUACUUCUCCAGAACCAUAUCUGCCUGUGUGCCACCAUGCUUCCCGCUAAGAUGACAAUGGACUAAACCUCUAAAACUUGGCUGGUGGAAGUAGAAGCAGACACCCACAACUAAUCACUGGACUGAACUGGAAUCCAGAUGCAGAG